GUUAAUCUCACCAUUGUUAGCCCGAGCCGGUCCGAGUCAGGCGUUCACUUCUUUUCUGACGACGGUAGAAAAGGAGAGAAAAUACAGCUUUCCCUGUCCGUCACCGCAAACCAGUUCAGAGGGUUUUUCCGGGUUCACCUCCAAAACCAGCACAGGACCUCCACACACAAACAUACCCAGCUGGAGGAGAAGAGAGUACAAAAUAGGAAGAGCCGGAGAUGAUGGUGUUGUUGAUGACUCUCAGCACACUGAUCCUGUCACUGUGGGCCUGAGGAUAAAACAUCAACAAACACUGAUGUGAAACGGAACUGAUUGUUCACAUCAGAGUCAAGAGUCGCUUACAGGUUUUCUGCUGCUCCAUGAGGAAAGUUCUGGA
Molecule: long non-coding RNA, 376 nt
Organism: Thunnus maccoyii (southern bluefin tuna)
Lineage: Eukaryota; Metazoa; Chordata; Actinopteri; Scombriformes; Scombridae
Exons: 4
Source: RefSeq, a predicted model, not a curated record